GAUGAACGCUGGCGGCGUGCCUAAUACAUGCAAGUAGAACGCUGAAGGAAGGAGCUUGCUCUUUCCGGAUGAGUUGCGAACGGGUGAGUAACGCGUAGGUAACCUGCCUGGUAGCGGGGGAUAACUAUUGGAAACGAUAGCUAAUACCGCAUAACAGUAGAUGUUGCAUGAUAUCUACUUAAAAGGUGCAAUUGCACCACUACCAGAUGGACCUGCGUUGUAUUAGCUAGUUGGUGAGGUAACGGCUCACCAAGGCGACGAUACAUAGCCGACCUGAGAGGGUGAUCGGCCACACUGGGACUGAGACACGGCCCAGACUGCUACGGGAGGCAGCAGUAGGGAAUCUUCGGCAAUGGACGGAAGUCUGACCGAGCAACGCCGAGUGAGUGAAGAAGGUUUUCGGAUCGUAAAGCUCUGUUGUAAGAGAAGAACGAGUGUGAGAGUGGAAAGUUCACACUGUGACGGUAUCUUACCAGAAAGGGACGGCUAACUACGUG
RNAcentral lists this ribosomal RNA (497 nucleotides) under uncultured bacterium. RNAcentral's name for it is "partial 16S ribosomal RNA". It matches the Rfam family "Bacterial small subunit ribosomal RNA", at positions 28 to 507 of the family's 1533-position model. The record is from RNAcentral.